CCUACGGGUGGCUGCAGCCGCGGUAAGACGGAGGAUGCAAGCGUUAUCCGGAAUGAUUGGGCGUAAAGCGUCCGCAGGUGGCAGUUCAAGUCUGCUGUCAAAGACCGGGGCUUAACUUCGGAAAGGCAGUGGAAACUGAACAGCUAGAGUAUGGUAGGGGCAGAGGGAAUUCCUGGUGUAGCGGUGAAAUGCGUAGAGAUCAGGAAGAACAUCGGUGGCGAAGGCGCUCUGCUGGACCAUAACUGACACUCAGGGACGAAAGCUAGGGGAGCGAA
RNAcentral lists this ribosomal RNA (275 nucleotides) under uncultured bacterium. RNAcentral's name for it is "partial 16S ribosomal RNA". It matches the Rfam family "Bacterial small subunit ribosomal RNA", at positions 500 to 772 of the family's 1533-position model. The record is from RNAcentral.